GACGAACGCUGGCGGCGUGCUUAACACAUGCAAGUCGAACGGAAAGGCCCUGCUUUUGUGGGGUGCUCGAGUGGCGAACGGGUGAGUAACACGUGAGUAACCUGCCCUUGACUUUGGGAUAACUUCAGGAAACUGGGGCUAAUACCGGGUAGGAGCUCCUGCUGCAUGGUGGGGGUUGGAAAGUUUCGGCGGUUGGGGAUGGACUCGCGGCUUAUCAGCUUGUUGGUGGGGUAGUGGCUUACCAAGGCUUUGACGGGUAGCCGGCCUGAGAGGGUGACCGGCCACAUUGGGACUGAGAUACGGCCCAGACUCCUACGGGAGGCAGCAGUGGGGAUUAUUGCACAAUGGGCGGAAGCCUGAUGCAGCAACGCCGCGUGCGGGAUGACGGCCUUCGGGUUGUAAACCGCUUUCGCCUGUGACGAAGCGUGAGUGACGGUAAUGGGUAAAGAAGCACCGGCUAACUACGUG
This 468-nucleotide ribosomal RNA is filed under the name uncultured bacterium. RNAcentral's name for it is "partial 16S ribosomal RNA". It matches the Rfam family "Bacterial small subunit ribosomal RNA", at positions 28 to 507 of the family's 1533-position model. The record is from RNAcentral.